GUGCUCGCUUCCGCAGCACAUAUACUAAAAUUGGAACGAUAUAGAGAAGAUUAGCGUGGCCCCUGCGCAAGGAUGACACGCAAAUUCGUGAAGCAUUCCAUAUUUAA
Molecule: small nuclear RNA, 107 nt
Organism: Cavia aperea (Brazilian guinea pig)
Lineage: Eukaryota; Metazoa; Chordata; Mammalia; Rodentia; Caviidae
Source: Ensembl